This 78-nucleotide transfer RNA is filed under the name Salmo salar (Atlantic salmon). Lineage: Eukaryota; Metazoa; Chordata; Actinopteri; Salmoniformes; Salmonidae. The record is from Rfam by way of RNAcentral.
UGGCUCAGUAGGUAGAGCAUGGUGAUUGCAAUGCCAGCAUGGUGUGUGCAAUGCCAGGGUUGUGGGUUCGAUUCCCAC